Molecule: non-coding RNA, 94 nt
Filed under: bovine gut metagenome
Description: THF riboswitch
Rfam family: THF (Tetrahydrofolate) riboswitch aptamer
About the family: THF riboswitch presents a pseudoknot that joins P1-P2 and the loop of P3 and two THF binding.
Source: RNAcentral
CAGAGUAAGUAUAUGUGCGUUAAGUGUCGUGUGAACGGGGAGUUGUCAUACGAACGAAAAGAUACCUUGCGGUACAUAUAUUGCAUCCCGCUGU